ACGUAAUAGAUACCCCGGUAGUCCACGCCCUAAACGAUGUCUACUAGUUGUUGGUGGAGUAAAAUCCAUGAGUAAACGCAGCUAAACGCGUGAAGUAGACCGCCUGGGGAGUACGGUCGCAAGAUUAAAAACUCAAAGGAAUUGACGGGGGCCCGCACAAGCGGUGGAUUAUGUGGAUUAAUUCGAUGCAACGCGAAAAACCUUACCUGGCCUUGACAUGCCACUAACGAAGCAGAGAUGCAUUAGGUGCCCGUAAGGGAAAGUGGACACAGGUGCUGCAUGGCUGUCGUCAGCUCGUGUCGUGAGAUGUUGGGUUAAGUCCCGCAACGAGCGCAACCCUUGCCAUUAAUUGCCAUCAUUUAGUUGGGCACUUUAAUGGGACUGCCGGUGACAAACCGGAGGAAGGUGGGGAUGACGUCAAGUCCUCAUGG
RNAcentral lists this ribosomal RNA (431 nucleotides) under uncultured bacterium. RNAcentral describes it as "bacterial SSU rRNA". It matches the Rfam family "Bacterial small subunit ribosomal RNA", at positions 772 to 1198 of the family's 1533-position model. The record is from RNAcentral.